GGGGGUGUUCCGGAUUCGACGGGCAUGGUUCGAUAUUGACGGCGUGCCGAGGAUGAUUGUUGGCCUCGUAAAUCAUCAAUCAAAAAAAUUAAAUGCGAACGAAGAGUUUGCUUUGGCCGCUUAAUUAAAACAAGCGCCAUGUCUGCCAGCCUAUGGGCGUAAGCGAAGCGGGCAUCAUUUAGCGUCCUGGCCCUAAGCCUUGGCAAUUGGGGCGCGGGGUAAGAUUUUUCGAUUGCUAGUCUGUCAAAGGUCUGUUGACCGGCCGUUUGAUGGACGAAAAAAAUUUUUAGAUCAACUACGCAUGUAGAAGUCAAUAUUUUUCUAUGUUCACACGCGGGUUCAACUCCCGCCACCUCCACCA
RNAcentral lists this transfer-messenger RNA (361 nucleotides) under Victivallaceae bacterium. It matches the Rfam family "transfer-messenger RNA". Rfam says of the family: Bacterial tmRNA, also known as 10Sa RNA or SsrA, is named for its dual tRNA and mRNA-like properties. Lineage: Bacteria; Pseudomonadati; Lentisphaerota; Lentisphaeria; Victivallales; Victivallaceae. RNAcentral also lists the same sequence under 1 other name. The record is from RNAcentral.